This 497-nucleotide ribosomal RNA is filed under the name uncultured bacterium. RNAcentral's name for it is "partial 16S ribosomal RNA". It matches the Rfam family "Bacterial small subunit ribosomal RNA", at positions 28 to 507 of the family's 1533-position model. The record is from RNAcentral.
GAUGAACGCUGGCGGCGUGCCUAAUACAUGCAAGUCGAGCGAACAGACGAGGAGCUUGCUCCUCUGAUGUUAGCGGCGGACGUGUGAGUAACACGUGGAUAACCUACCUAUAAGACUGGGAUAACUUCGGGAAACCGGAGCUAAUACCGGAUAACAUGUUGAACCGCAUGGUUCAACAGUGACAGACGGUCUUGCUGUCACCUAUAGAUGGAUCCGCGCCGCAUUAGCUAGUUGGUCAGGUAACGGCUUACCAAGGCAACGAUCCGUAGCCGACCUGAGAGGGUGAUCAGCCACACUGGAACUGAGACACGGCCCAGACUCCUACGGGAGGCAGCAGUGGGGAAUCUUCCGCAAUGGGCGAAAGCCUGACGGAGCAACGCCGCGUGAGUGAAGAAGGUCUUCGGAUCGUAAAACUCUGUUAUUAGGGAAGAACAAAUGUGUAAGUAACUAUGCACGUCUUGACGGUACCUAAUCAGAAAGCCACGGCUAACUACGUG